RNAcentral lists this RNase P RNA (340 nucleotides) under Flavobacteriaceae bacterium. Its description in RNAcentral is "RNase P RNA component class A". It matches the Rfam family "Bacterial RNase P class A". From Rfam's summary of the family: Ribonuclease P (RNase P) is a ubiquitous endoribonuclease, found in archaea, bacteria and eukarya as well as chloroplasts and mitochondria. Its best characterised activity is the generation of mature 5'-ends of tRNAs by cleaving the 5'-leader elements of precursor-tRNAs. Lineage: Bacteria; Pseudomonadati; Bacteroidota; Flavobacteriia; Flavobacteriales; Flavobacteriaceae. The record is from RNAcentral.
AAAGCAGACCUAUCUUAUCGCUUUUAAAAACCUAUUUUAUUUUUACAUAGUAUGAUAGAUUAGUUUUAAAAAGAGGAAAGUCCGGACACCAUAGAGUGGCACAGCGGAUAACAUCCGUCCAAUGUAAAUUGAGGACAAGUGCAACAGAAAGCAGGUACAGUUCGGCUGUAGUGAAACCAGGUAAACUCUGUGCGGUGCAAUGUCAUGUACAUUAGAGUUUGAGGGUUACUCGCCCGAUUCUAAGGGGUAGGCAGAUCGAUUCUAAGAGUAAUUUUAGAACUAGAUAAAUGAUAAGACUCUAUUAAGGGAACAGAAUCCGGCUUAUUGGUCUGCUUUUUUU